RNAcentral lists this ribosomal RNA (632 nucleotides) under Mycobacterium sp. Ri3Ps_6496. Its description in RNAcentral is "bacterial SSU rRNA". It matches the Rfam family "Bacterial small subunit ribosomal RNA", at positions 381 to 1022 of the family's 1533-position model. The record is from RNAcentral. Lineage: Bacteria; Bacillati; Actinomycetota; Actinomycetes; Mycobacteriales; Mycobacteriaceae.
GCCUGAUGCAGCGACGCCGCGUGAGGGAUGACGGCCUUCGGGUUGUAAACCUCUUUCAGUAGGGACGAAGCGCAAGUGACGGUACCUAUAGAAGAAGGACCGGCCAACUACGUGCCAGCAGCCGCGGUAAUACGUAGGGUCCGAGCGUUGUCCGGAAUUACUGGGCGUAAAGAGCUCGUAGGUGGUUUGUCGCGUUGUUCGUGAAAACUCACAGCUCAACUGUGGGCGUGCGGGCGAUACGGGCAGACUAGAGUACUGCAGGGGAGACUGGAAUUCCUGGUGUAGCGGUGGAAUGCGCAGAUAUCAGGAGGAACACCGGUGGCGAAGGCGGGUCUCUGGGCAGUAACUGACGCUGAGGAGCGAAAGCGUGGGGAGCGAACAGGAUUAGAUACCCUGGUAGUCCACGCCGUAAACGGUGGGUACUAGGUGUGGGUUUCCUUCCUUGGGAUCCGUGCCGUAGCUAACGCAUUAAGUACCCCGCCUGGGGAGUACGGCCGCAAGGCUAAAACUCAAAGAAAUUGACGGGGGCCCGCACAAGCGGCGGAGCAUGUGGAUUAAUUCGAUGCAACGCGAAGAACCUUACCUGGGUUUGACAUGCACAGGACGCCGGCAGAGAUGUCGGUUCCCUUGUG